RNAcentral lists this ribosomal RNA (363 nucleotides) under uncultured bacterium. RNAcentral's name for it is "bacterial SSU rRNA". It matches the Rfam family "Bacterial small subunit ribosomal RNA", at positions 147 to 507 of the family's 1533-position model. The record is from RNAcentral.
CCCAGGGAAACUUGGAUUAAUACCCCAUAUUCGCAAAUGACCGGCAUCGGUUGUUGCCAAAGUUCCGACGGUAAAGGAUGGGUGUGCGGUUGAUUAGGGUAGUUGGCGGGGUAACGGCCCACCAAGCCUACGAUCAAUAGCUGAUGUGAGAGCAUGAUCAGCCACACGGGCACUGAGACACGGGCCCGACUCCUACGGGAGGCAGCAGUAAGGAAUAUUGGGCAAUGGACGCAAGUCUGACCCAGCCAUGCCGCGUGAAGGAUGAAGGCCCUCUGGGUUGUAAACUUCUUUUAUCUGGGGCGAAAGGCGGUUAUUCUUAGCCGUUUGACAGUACCAGAGGAAUAAGCACCGGCUAACUCCGUG